AAGAUCCGGCUUCGUACGUGACCUGCGGAGGAUCAUUAUCGUAAAACCGAGGUGCAAGGGCUGUCGCUGACCUUCCAAAGGUCGUGCACGCUCGAGCGCUCUCACCACAAUCCAUCUCACCCCUUUUGUGCAUCACCGCGUGGGUCCUCCUUUGCGGGAGGGCUCGCGUUUUCACAUAAAACUUGACACAGUCUAGAAUGUUUUAUUUUUGCCGUAACACGCAAUCAAUACAACUUUCAACAACGGAUCUCUUGGCUCUCGCAUCGAUGAAGAACGCAGCGAAAUGCGAUACGUAAUGUGAAUUGCAGAAUUCAGUGAAUCAUCGAAUCUUUGAACGCACCUUGCGCCCCUUGGCAUUCCGAGGGGCACACCCGUUUGAGUGUCGUGAAAUUCUCAAAAGUCCUUUUCUUUGAUCGGAAUAGGUCUUUUGGACUUGGAGGUUCAAUGCUCGCAUUCACCUUUGAAAGCGAGCUCCUCUCAAAUGAAUUAGUGGGGUCCGCUUUGCUGGUCCUUGACGUGAUAAGAUGUUUCUACGUUUUGGAUCUGGCACUGUUUUCUCCGCUCCCAACCGUCUCACGGACAACGAUGGUGCUUCGGUCGCUGCCAUAAAAUGGCAGAAGGCUGGACCCACAAAAAACCUUGACCUCAAAUCGGGUGAGACUACCCGCUGAACUUAAGCAUAUCUAA
This 687-nucleotide ribosomal RNA is filed under the name uncultured Russula. RNAcentral's name for it is "eukaryotic LSU rRNA". The stretch from base 232 to 385 matches the Rfam family "5.8S ribosomal RNA". Lineage: Eukaryota; Fungi; Basidiomycota; Agaricomycetes; Russulales; Russulaceae. The record is from RNAcentral.